This 204-nucleotide unclassified non-coding RNA is filed under the name uncultured fungus. Its description in RNAcentral is "sequence contains ITS1". The record is from RNAcentral. Lineage: Eukaryota; Fungi.
UUAACUUUUUGUUUUAUUUUCUCAGACGACAUUAAAAUAGAGUUUGUUGGUCCUUCGGCGGGGGCUCGCCCGCGUUAGCCGACGGCCGCUCAGAAAAGCAGACGCCCCGCCGAAGCAACAUGUAAUUAUAAACAAAUGGGUGGGAGGGCGGACCUUGCGAUCCAACACUCGGUAAUGAUCCUUCCGCAGGUUCACCUACGGAAA